Molecule: ribosomal RNA, 254 nt
Filed under: uncultured bacterium
Lineage: Bacteria
Description: partial 16S ribosomal RNA
Rfam family: Bacterial small subunit ribosomal RNA
Source: RNAcentral
UACGUAGGGGCCUAGCGUUGUCCGGAUUUAUUGGGCGUAAAGAGCUCGUAGGCGGUUCGGUAAGUCAGGUGUGAAAUCUCCACGCUCAACGUGGAGGCGCCACCUGAAACUGCCGUGACUCGAGUCCGGUAGGGGAGUGUGGAAUUCCCGGUGUAGCGGUGAAAUGCGCAGAUAUCGGGAAGAACACCCGUGGCGAAGGCAGCUCUCUGGGACGGUACUGACGCUGAGACGCGAAAGCGUGGGGAGCGAACAGG